CGAGUGGCGGACGGGUGAGUAAUGUCGGGGAAACUGCCCGAUGGAGGGGGAUAACUACUGGAAACGGUAGCUAAUACCGCAUAACGUCGCAAGACCAAAGAGGGGGACCUUCGGGCCUCUUGCCAUCGGAUGUGCCCAGAUGGGAUUAGCUAGUAGGUGGGGUAACGGCUCACCUAGGCGACGAUCCCUAGCUGGUCUGAGAGGAUGACCAGCCACACUGGAACUGAGACACGGCCCAG
This 239-nucleotide ribosomal RNA is filed under the name uncultured bacterium. Its description in RNAcentral is "partial 16S ribosomal RNA". It matches the Rfam family "Bacterial small subunit ribosomal RNA", at positions 92 to 334 of the family's 1533-position model. The record is from RNAcentral.